Non-coding RNA from Acanthosepion pharaonis, 114 nucleotides. The record is from the annotation of a GenBank genome assembly. NCBI's taxonomy places the organism in Eukaryota, Metazoa, Mollusca, Cephalopoda, Sepiida, Sepiidae.
UUACGGCCAUAUCACGUUAAAACACCAGUUAUCGUCCGAUCACCGAAGUUAACCAAAGUCGAAAUUAGUCAGUACCUAGAUGAGUGACCGCUUGUGAAUACCAGGUGCUGUAAG